UAUGAGACCACACCCCUUAUGUGAGAACACUAUUAUAUGUGAGAACUCAUUAUAACCAUUGGAUCAAUUGCAUCCAACGGUCACAAUACAAUCCCGGUUUAAACAAAACCAUUUUAUUUCAAAACACUUUCUGCAUUUUUUCUCUCUCCUCCUUCCUCUUUCACGCGCAAUUUCUCUCUCCUCAUUCAAUUUCAUUCGGUUUUCUUCUCUCUUUCUCUCUGAAAUUUCAUCACAACUUCUCCAAUCUUCAUCAAUUGUUCGUCAAUAUGAUGCUUUGAAGGCGUUCCUAUCAAGGUCAGCUUCCAGCAACUCCUUGUCUGCCUCUGGGAAGGCUUCUGACCAGCCCAAGCGAACACUUGUAUCAAGUGCUGAGAUGGAAGCUAUACUGUUGGGUGGCUGCGUUUAAUCUCAUUGAAGUAUUCAAUGGCUAUGUCUCAUGAUAACAUUUUGGUGAAAAAAUUGGUAUUGGAUUUCUUUAAACAUAUUGUU
This is a long non-coding RNA of Chenopodium quinoa (quinoa), 489 nucleotides long. RefSeq lists it as uncharacterized. Lineage: Eukaryota; Viridiplantae; Streptophyta; Magnoliopsida; Caryophyllales; Amaranthaceae. The record is from RefSeq and is a predicted model, not a curated record. The transcript is spliced from 3 exons.